Molecule: unclassified non-coding RNA, 341 nt
Filed under: uncultured fungus
Lineage: Eukaryota; Fungi
Description: partial contains small subunit ribosomal RNA, internal transcribed spacer 1, and 5.8S ribosomal RNA
Rfam family: Eukaryotic small subunit ribosomal RNA (bases 1-73)
Source: RNAcentral
GCAAACUUGGUCAUUUAGAGGAAGUAAAAGUCGUAACAAGGUUUCCGUAGGUGAACCUGCGGAAGGAUCAUUAUUGAAUAAACUCGGUGGGUUGUAGCUGGCUCCUUGGAGCAUGUGCACGCUCAUCUUGCUUAUCCAUCCACCUGUGCACACUUUGUAGUCUUGAGGGAGAUGAGAGCAAGUUGAUUGACUUUGACUUGUGACUUGUCCUCGAGUCUAUGUGUUUUCAUAUACCCCGUAGUAUGUUGCAGAAUGUAUUCAAUGGGCCUUUGUGCCUAUAUAAACUAUAUACAACUUUCAGCAACGGAUCUCUUGGCUCUCGCAUCGAUGAAGAACGCAGC